Molecule: non-coding RNA, 82 nt
Filed under: Amorphochlora amoebiformis
Lineage: Eukaryota; Cercozoa; Chlorarachniophyceae
Source: RNAcentral
AGACCCAUAAGAAGGCCCUUACCCUAAAAAUGAUGAUGUCGAAAGAGAAAGAAGAGAAAGAAGAAGACAAAGAACAGAAAAA